Molecule: RNA transcript, 740 nt
Organism: Zootermopsis nevadensis
Lineage: Eukaryota; Metazoa; Arthropoda; Insecta; Blattodea; Termopsidae
Source: RefSeq, a predicted model, not a curated record
GGCACGGAGGAAGCAGUUACAGCAGUGGCGGAUUCGGAGGUGGUCACGGAGGAAUCAGUUACAGCAGUGGCGGACUCGGAGGUGGUCACGGAGGAAGCAGUUACAGCAGUGGCGGAUCAGGUGGCCACGGAGGAUAUUCUAGUGGCGGAUAUUCUGGAGGUGAUGGGUAUUCCAGUGGAGGGGGUGGAUAUUCUAGCGCUGGUCAUGGAGAUGAUGACAUUGGUGGAUAUCCAUGAUACAGUGCUGCCACAACACGUCGUACAUAUUUAUUGCAAACUAAUACUACCACUGCUUCUUUCUCCCCUGCAUGGGAGUGCAAAGUUCUUGAUGUUAUCUGUUCUAUGUACAUCAUCAGACGUCUGAGUUGAAGCACUGAGACCCUUUAUGCAGGGCACAACUGGAUUUUUGUACCACACAAGUGACCGCAUGGAAAGGCUAAGUUGGUUGCUGGUCGAUAUACACGAGACACAAAGGACCAGCAAUUCAAGACAGUCUUAAACAUUGCUACUACAUAACUGAGAGGCUGAACUUGCGUCACGUUUUAUGUAAAACGGACUAGAGCGGGGGCAGAAGUGGAGGCAAUACCAAAGACUAGCGGACAUUUUGGUAACACAACAAACGUCACAAAAUAAGGGUCCCACUAUGAUCUGAUUUAUCAUUCAUCUUAAUACUCCACCGUGUGAAUGAAUGUAUGGUGCUCAUAACUAUUUUUUAUAAUAAAUUUUUAUAGUUUAAUAAUA